This 72-nucleotide transfer RNA is filed under the name Heterocephalus glaber (naked mole-rat). It matches the Rfam family "tRNA". From Rfam's summary of the family: Transfer RNA (tRNA) molecules are approximately 80 nucleotides in length. Their secondary structure includes four short double-helical elements and three loops (D, anti-codon, and T loops). Lineage: Eukaryota; Metazoa; Chordata; Mammalia; Rodentia; Bathyergidae. The record is from Rfam by way of RNAcentral.
UGGAGUAUAGCUCAGUGGUAGAGCACUUAUGUAGCAUAUUCAAGUACCUGGGUUUGAUUCCCAGCAUUGCAA